Molecule: non-coding RNA, 83 nt
Organism: Potamilus streckersoni
Lineage: Eukaryota; Metazoa; Mollusca; Bivalvia; Unionida; Unionidae
Source: the annotation of a GenBank genome assembly
GUUCCGGUGGCUUAAGUGGUUAGAGCGUCCGCCUCAGAUGCAAAAGGUUGCGGGUUCGAGCCCCGGCUGACUCUACCAGUGCA